AUAAUAUUCCGACCGGGAAUCUCCUUUUCGGCAAACAGAGGAAAAAUCACAAAGACGGGGGCAGCCAGGGCACGCGCCUAAGCCCACAGUCCCUUGAUCCGCCACUUGAGAAAGGCGAUAAUGUGUUUCAGCCUGGGGCUGGGAUGACGACAUUCUGUUUUUUCCCGGGCUCUGAGCGCCUAUGGAAGACGUAGGAAGUGUCACGUUAGAGCAGAGAUCCUUUGUAAAAGAUAGAGAUGGCAAAGAAGUUCAAGAAAUGGUCAGACAGGCCACUUCCUGUAAAGGAAUCUCUCAGGUUUUGACCUGCCAUUUGAGUUCUGUUAUACUCACAGACACCAUUCAAACAGUUUUAGAAACUUUAGGGUGUUUUCUAUCCAAAGCCAAUAAUUAUAUGCAUAUUCUAGUUACUGGGCAGGAGUAGUAACCAGAUUAAAUCGGGUACGUUUUUUAUCCAGCCGUGAAAAUACUGCCCCCUAGCCAUAACAGGUUAAAAGUAAAACAUUUGCUUACACUUCCUUACUUCUGGAACACAAGCUUCCAGGGAGGGCAAUUUUGUGGCUUCACCAUGUUUCAUCGAAAUGUACAGCUGUGUAUCGUCCACAUAGUAGUGAAAGUUAACAUUAUGUUUUCCCGAAUAACAUCACCAAGAGGCAAAUAUAUAGUGACAACAAUAGUGGUCCUAAAACGGAACCUUGAGGAACACCGAAAUGUACAGUUGAUUUGUCAGAAGACAAACCAUCCACAGAGACAAACUGAUAUCUUUUCCAGACAGAUAAGAUCUAUACCAGGCCAGAACUUGUCCGUGUAGACCAAUUUGGGUUUCCAAUCUCUCCAAAAGAAUCCAUCCUCUCUUGGGGAGUGCUGCUUUUUAGUUAGCUUUGCGACAGUAUCAAAAAUAGAUUUUGGAUUGUUCUUAUUCCUCAAUUAAGUUGGAAAAUAGGAUGAUCGAGCAGCAGUGAGGGCUCUUCGAUACUGCACGGUACGGUCUUUCCAAGCUAGUCGGAAGACUUCUAGUUUGGUGUAGCGCCAUUUGCGUUCCAAUUUUCUGGAAGCUUGCUCAGGGCUGGGGUAUUUUCUGUAUACCAGGGAGCUAGUUUCUUAUGAAAAAUGUUUUUUUGUUUUUGGGGGUGCGACUGCAUCUAGGGUAUUACUUAAGGUUACAUUUAGUUCCUCAGUUAGGUGGUUAAAUUCUUAUGGCUGGAAUCCCAUUAGCGGGAUCGAUAUGACAACAGCCAGUGAAAGUGCAGGGCGCCAAAUUCAAAACAACUAAAAUCUCAUAAUUAAAAUUCCUCAAACAUACAAGUAUUAUACACCAUUUUAAAGCUUUACUUCUUGUUAAUCCAGCCACAGUGUCUGAUUUCAAAAAGGCUUUACGGCGAAAGCAAACCAUAUGAUUAUGUUAGGUCAGCGCCUAUACACAAAAAAACACAGCCAUUUUCCAGCCAAAGAGAGGAGUCACAAAAAAGCAGAAAUAGAGAUAAAACGAAUCACUAACCUUUGAUGACCUUCAUCAGAUGACACUCAUAGGACUUCAUGUUACACAAUACAUGUAUGUUUUGUUCAAUAAAGUUCAUAUUUAUAUCCAAAAAUCUCAGUUUACAUUGGCGCGUUAUGUUUAGUCAUGUUUUGCCUCCAAAACACACGGUGAUGUUUGCAGAGAGCCAUAUCAAUUUACAGAAAUACUCAUCAUAAAUGUUGAUGAAAAUACAAGUGUUAUGCAUAGGAUUAUAGAUACACUUCUCCUUAAUGCAAUCGCUGUGUCAGAUUUCAAAAAAGCUUUACCAAAAAAGCACACCAUGUAAUAAUCUGAGUACGGCGCUUAGACACAAAAACAUGCCAUACAAUAUAUCCGCCAUGUUGGAGUCAACAAUAGUCAGAAAUAGCAUUAUAAAUAUUCACUUACCUUUGAUGAUCUUCAUCAGGAUGCACUCCCAGGAAUCCCAGUUCCACACUAAAUGUUUGUUUUGUUCGAUAAAGUCCAUCCUUUAUGUCCAAAUACCUCCUUUUUGUUCACGCCUUCAGUUCACAAAUUCAAAUUCACGACGCGCAGGUCAGACGAAAAUUCCAUUAUAGUUCAUAGAAACAUGUCAAACGAUGUAUAGAAUCAAUCUUUAGGAUGUUUUUAUCAGAAAUCUGCAAUAAAGUUUCAACCGGAGAAAUCCUUUGUCUUCAGAAAUGCAAUGGAACUGAGCUACCUCUCACAUGAGCGCACAUGGCUGAGGCUCAUGCCCUGCUGGCAGUCCUCUCACUCAAUGAGCUCUUAUUCUCCCCCACUUCACAGUAGAAGCCUCAAACAAGGUUCUAAAGACUGUUGACAUCUAGUGGAAGCCUUAGGAAGUGCAAAAUGAACCCACAGACACUGUAGUUUGGAUAGGCAAUCACUUGAAAAACUACAAACCACUUCCUGUUUGGAUUUUUUCUCAGGUUUUUGCCUGCCAUAUGAGUUCUGUUAUAGUCACAGACAUCAUUCAAACAGUUUUAGAAACUUCAGAGUGUUUUCUAUCCAAAUCUACUAAUAAUAUGCAUAUCUUAGUUUCUGGGAGUGAGUAGAAGGCAGUUUACUCUGGGCAAAUCAGUCAUCCAAGCUACUCAAUACUGCCACAAUCCAUAAGAAGUUAACCGAUUUUUGUACUCUGACGUCCUUGGGUAGGUGGAGGGAGUCUGGAAGGGCAUCUAGGAAUCUUUGGGUUGUCCGAGAAUUUAUAGCACGGCUUUUGAUGAUCCUUGGUUGGGGUCUGAGCAGAUUAUUCAUUGCGAUUGCAAACGUAAUAGAAUGGUAGUCCGAUAGUCCAGGAUUAUGAGGAAAAACAUUAAGAUCCACAAUAUUUAUUCC
RNAcentral lists this long non-coding RNA (2833 nucleotides) under Salmo salar (Atlantic salmon). Its description in RNAcentral is "lncRNA (ENSSSAG00000109218.1)". The record is from RNAcentral. Lineage: Eukaryota; Metazoa; Chordata; Actinopteri; Salmoniformes; Salmonidae.